UAUAAACAGAUGGAGUUGGAUACCAACAUGCUAUAACAGUGUUCAUGGUUUUAUACAGAUAAAAUCACUGCCUUUAAGAGAUUCGCUGUGUAAGAACAGAGCAAACAUGAAACCAUUGAGAAAAAAAAAAUAGUUUUAAAAAGGAAAAGGAUCUGAAUGGACUUUUUUCAAAAGAACAUAAUACAAAUCAUCAAUGAGCACAUAAAAACAUAAUCAGCAUCAUUAACCAUCAAGAAAAUGCAAAUAAAAAUGCCAGUAUGGUACCAUUCAUACCCACUAAGAGUGCUAAAAUAAAAUUGAUAAUGAAUGCUUGUGCAGAUGUGAAGAAAUCACAACCCUCAUGGACUGAUGGUGAGAUGAAAAGUGAUAUAGUCACUUUGGAAAACAAUCUGGCUCAUUGUUUUUAAACAAUCUGGCUCAUUGUUUUUUAAAAAAGGUUUUAAAAAUGGAGUUACCAUAUAACUCAGCAGUUCCAUUCCAAGAUACAGACCCAAGAAAAAUGAAAAUUGUCGUCAUUAAAAUUUGUACAUGAAUGUUUAUAGCAUCAGUUUUUCCAUAGCAAAAAAAUAGAAUUAACCCAAAUAUCCAUCACCUGAUAAAGGAUGAACAAGAAGUAAUGUGUUCAUACAAUGGGACAUUAUUCAGCAAUAAAAAUAAAGUACUGAUACAACUUGGGUGAAUCUUGAAUACAUUAUGCUAACAUAUAGGUGAAAGGAACCGGUCAUUAAAGAACUCAUUGUGUGAUUUUAUUGAUAUGAAAUAUCCAAAACAGGCAAAUCUGUGGAGACAGAAAGUAGAUUAGUGGCAGCCAAGGGCUAGAAUGAAGGGAAAAGGGGAUUGAGUGCUAGGAGGUACAGGGUUUUUUUGGGGGGUAGUGACAUUGUUCUUAUACAUUUUGAUGGUGGUUGUAUCACUACACUAAAACCCAC
Molecule: long non-coding RNA, 929 nt
Filed under: Marmota monax (woodchuck)
Lineage: Eukaryota; Metazoa; Chordata; Mammalia; Rodentia; Sciuridae
Source: RNAcentral